RNAcentral lists this transfer RNA (62 nucleotides) under Hymenolepis microstoma. RNAcentral describes it as "tRNA-Asp". Lineage: Eukaryota; Metazoa; Platyhelminthes; Cestoda; Cyclophyllidea; Hymenolepididae. The record is from RNAcentral.
GCAAUUUUAGUUUAAGUAGAAUAAUAGUUUGUCUUGCUAUUGGUGGUGUAAAUCAAGUUGCU